Molecule: long non-coding RNA, 204 nt
Filed under: Elaeis guineensis (African oil palm)
Lineage: Eukaryota; Viridiplantae; Streptophyta; Magnoliopsida; Arecales; Arecaceae
Description: long non-coding RNA (EGUI_LNC052691)
Source: RNAcentral
UGGGCCGCACGGAGCCAGGAGGAAUUUAUUAUGAAGAGUAAUGGGGUGGAGUCGUGGCUGUCACCAUGGCUCGCCAUGUGGAGUCUGUUGCGGAGAGCGGAGCGACGUCCGUUGUCGCGACUCGCCAGGGAGUGGUGGAGCCGUGCAGUAUCCGUCGCAAGAAGUGGAGCAGAAUCGUGGUCAUUACUGCGGCCUGUCACGUGG